This 7170-nucleotide long non-coding RNA is filed under the name Vitis vinifera (wine grape). RNAcentral describes it as "long non-coding RNA (VVIN_LNC005173)". The record is from RNAcentral. Lineage: Eukaryota; Viridiplantae; Streptophyta; Magnoliopsida; Vitales; Vitaceae.
CCUUUAAAAUGCCUAAAGUGCCUUCCACCGAUCUUUUGGUCACAGUUUCCUCUGGUUCUGUGUCUUCAAAAUCUAUGGGAUGAGCAACAUGGAAAACUCCGAUACAUCCUUCAAUGGCUGCUUCAAAACUGCUGGGAUCACUCAGAUCUGCGUUGUAGAUUCGGAGCUUUUCCGAUGCUCCCGGAAGGUUUGUCAGGUAGCUAACGUCUUUCUUGCUCUCUGAUCAUGUGGAAAUUUUUGCAAUUUCUAGAGUUAGCUUCUUUGCUAAAAAAGCCCUAAAAAAAACCAGAAUGGCAAAACAUUUCGUACUCCAAAACACGAUUAAUAAUUUUAUUAGUUUCGAAAAACUAAACUUAAAAAAAAUGAGGAAAAAAAAAAAAAAAGAUUAUAAAAUUCAAAAAAUUUGCAUACGAGGGUGAGAUCGAAUGGUAGCAUUAACAGAGUAACCGUGUUGCAGAAGCUUCAUGACGAGCCAUGAGGCUAUGAACCCUGUCCCACCUGUUACACACACUCUGCCUUUCUCGCCUUCCAUUUCUUCUCUCUCUCUUCUCUUUGUUUCUCUGUCUCUGUGUGUCCCCUCUCUUGAUUUCUUUCUCUCCCUUUCUCUAGUAGGUUGCAUAUCAAUCUACAUACUUUGUCCCUCUUGAGUCUUGAUUUCUUUCUCUCGCUUUCUGUGUUAGGUUGCAUGUCAAUUCAGUCCCAUAUAAUCUAUUUAAUAAAAAGGAUGAUAUUCUUAAAUAUACAACUGGGGAGAGCGGGACAAGAGACUACCAUCGAGACUACCAGGCACACCACAACCAACAGGCAAGACAAACGAGACUUGGGAAAGCUGGCAACCCAAUCGGGAGACAGAGUCUCGUUAAAUAAUAGAUUUCUUUCCUCCUAUUCCUUUUUUUCUAGCAAGAUGACAUCAUUACUUACAUGCUCCUGAGAUUAAAUUAAAGAGUAUCGGGUCAAAAUGGGUCAUUUAUUAAAAAAAAAAAAAAAAAAACAACCAAUUUUUCAAAGUUACGAUCAAAUUCGUCUCUUUGUAUUCAAAUUCAUCUCUUUGUCAUAGGCAUCAUGUCAUUAAAUUAUUUUUUUUUUCAUCAUUUUAGUUAAAAUAUCAAUUGAUAGCUGAAACUUCAUUUUUAAACUAAAACCGUAAUUGAUAAUAAGACUUCAUUUUUUAACUAAAGCCUCAAUUGAUAACUGAGACUUUAGUUAAUUAUUUUUUAAAAUUAAAAAUUAUUAAAUUAUAAUUUAUUAUUGAAAAUUUAAAAAUAUAUUUAAAUAAUAAUUAUUUAUAUUUAAACUUAAGAAUCUAGUAUUAUUUUAACAAACAUAAAUUGAUAAAUAAAAAAAAUUAUAACUGAAUAUUUUAUUUAUUAAUAAUCUUAAAAUAAUAAAUUUAUAUAACAUAUAAAUAAUUUAUAAAAUAAAAAUGAAGUGAUUUUAAGUAAAAUGAUGAUUUUUUUUUUUUUUUAAUGAUAUGGCGCCUACGUGACACCAAAAAUGCUAAUUUAAACACAAGUUUCAAAAAGGCUAAUUUAAACACAAGUUUCAAAAAGUGGUUGGAUGUUAUGUUUUUUUUUAAUAAAUGGGUCAUUUUGAACCAAUGCUCCAAAUUAAAUUUAAACCUAUGAGCCCAUCCCGAACACUUCAUACGAAAAUGGAUUAACUCAUUGAAAGACUUGCAAGAAUGUUGAACAUUUUGCCUUCUCAGAUCAUCAGCAGCAGACAAGCAAUUAAUACUGAAAAAUGACUGAAAAUGAAUUAAUUUACUCGGUUGUGGGAUUACCUUUUUACUUUUAUUUAUUCUAAUUACCUUUACGAUCUCUUUUGCUAUCCUACCACCUCCACUAUUAAUCGAUCUUGUUUACUUUAAUUAUAAUUUAUGAAUAUAAAUAUGCUAAUUUUAUAAUUUAAAAUAAGUUUUAAAUUAACUUUAUUAAACAGCCUUAACGUCAAUUAAAAUUUUAAUUUUGUUAGAUUUCAGUUUUGAACAAAAAAAAUCUAUCAAUUUACUGUAACAUAGCCUUAGAAGCAUUUAUCAUCAAGGCAAUGAUCCAAUAGUAAGAGGGGAUCUGAACUAUCAGGUACAUGCCAUGUACUGCUUGUUUCUAAUUUUGAAAAAAUAGGGGUAAACAAAAGCAAAACACCAAACAUGUUCUCUCCAAAACAAUAAAGCUAGGCUCAAAAAGCAUUAAGAGAAUCAUAAAUCAGAAGAUUUGCAGCAUCAACAUACUUUCCUAGUUGAUUUUGAAUCCCCUGUUUUAGUUGGUCCCAGCAUUUCGUGUAGUAAACCUGAAGUAUGAAUCCACCAAUAGUAUAUGAGCAAAGAGGAAGAAAAAAACCAAAAUUAAUAUGUCAAAUUCAACAUCUACUGAUCAAACAAAUGUUCAAUGAGUUCUUAAAAUGAGUUUUCUAUCAUCCCACCAUCAAUACCUUAUCCAACUUCUUGAGUUGGUUGCACAGGCUCUUUUCUCUAAUAUAUGUUUAUCAUACAUUUUCCAAGUGAUCAAUCUUCAAAUAUUUUACUACAACACAAAAGAAGGGUGGGAAGUUUGACCAACAACCUUUUGAACCUUCACCUCAUCUUUUCAAAGCACUGAAGCAGCAUAAUCCGCUUCAUUGGGAUUUCACUAAAUUUUCAGCAGUUUAAUCUUCUUAGUCAAAUCUCUGUUUUGCCCACUGUUGAGCUAGUCCCUAGCACUAUACUGUAAUGCAAUCAUUCUAAAAUUAUGAACUUGUGGCAUGCAGUAUCCACAUAAGUGCCAUCUCCAGAUCCCUACUCCCUACCAUCUUGAAAUCCAAUAACGUUCCAUUGUUUCAAUUGAUUGGCAACUUAAAGCAAAAUGACCACCAAUAGUAAACACAAAUCAUUUUUCAAAAGCAUAUGAUUCGAUGUGUGGGACCUUCUCCACUCAAGGUUCAGAAUUUCUCUGGGAAAAUAAAAGCAAUGAAACUUACAAUUUUAAGAAGAAACCAAAUUUCGGCGGUAUUAAGUUGCUAAAUGGCGUUUCUUUCUUGAAAAUCAAGAAAAAAAAAAUCCAAAUUUCAGGUAGGUCAAAAAAACUUUAAGUCAACAUUCAGUACACCAACGCCGUUUCCCGUUACUGGAAACGCACAAAUUUUUCUCAGGAUUUUCAAUAACCCCCUACUCUCAAAAACAUUCUUCCACGCACAGAUUUCGAAAAUGCCAUAUGUGUUGAUGUCUCACGUCUUUGAGGAUCCACGUAGUUGACAGAUGGAUGGACGCGUGAUCUCAACCCAUAAAGGUUCUUGAUCCAGCCGUUAUACCUGCAAGAAGGCAUCCGGACAGGGUGUCCGGACGCACCCUCCGAUGGUUUUGUUAGCCAUGGUGAGAGAGAGGAAUAUAAAUCAGUUGGCCUUUUACCAGGUAUUAAAAAGUUACCAGGAGGAUCCCCCUCUUCUUCGUGCGAAUGCAUAUAUAUACAGCUUCAGGGUACUGUUCCUUUCAUUAAUGGUGAGGAAAUAUUUUAUGAUGGGAUGUGGGCCAUAGCUGGCUGUCGUGAUAGCGUGUAAGACUUGCUUUACUUUGAUUGAUGAUCCGGACGAUUAUAUCCGGGUGGCACAUGCUUAUUGCCCGGAUGUAUUGUGGGGCGAAUCCAUUAUGAAGGUUGUCCGGAUGUCUGUGCUUUGCCAGCGACGUUUGCUCUCCCUUGGAUAUGAGAAGUUGAAACGUCUUUUGCCUUUCCUUGAGGUGAUCCGGAUAGGAGAACUGCCUCAUGCAUAUCUUUAGGGGAAUCCGGAUGGUGGUGGUUCGGAUGAUGAUGCGUGCCACGUGUCACUGUGAGGUGCGUGCCACGUGUUUUCCAGAGGGAGGGGUCCCUACAAUAUGCCCGCAACCUUUUCAAAAUUUUCACCUCAAAAGCAAAUAAGAAACUCAUUUGUCCACAAAAUAUGAUUUCUAGAAAGAAAAAAAAAAAAAAAAAAAGCUUUUCUUCAUCAUUUCCCUAUCUUUUCGUCCGUUUUCUUAGCAAAGAAGUACAGACAACACAAGUACAACAAACCAAAAUCCAAACAAAAAAAGUCAAAUAAACUUACGAUCGCGGUUGAUUUGACGAAAGUUCUUGUACUCUCCGGCAUUUGACGAAAAAUCAAAGUCCGACAUCGACAUCGCGGAUCCAAAAGAACGAAGAUCAGAGAGCCAAAUGCAGAAGAGAAAAGGCGAGAAAGUUAGAGGGGAGAGUGUCUUCUAGAGAGAGAGUUUUCUGGAGCAAGAAAGGAGGAGAGAUAUGAUCGGAGGAAAGGUCGUUAUGGUUGUGGUGGGAACGUUCUUCUCGAUGAAUAUUUUUAUUUUUUGAAUGUAAAAUAGAACGGGAAUGUCGCAUCCGAAACACCAAAUGCGUCGUCGUUUUGUCUCUUUAAAUGCUUGAAAUUACGGUUCCAUCCUUUCUUGUUUUUAUCUCAUACGGCCCCCAUAUUUUGAAGUGUUCGCCUUUUAACCCUUGAAGGGGCUUCGACCCUGGUGUUGGUGCCAAGACGUGACCACCUCUCAACUCUCACGUUGAUUUAUCUAUUGGAGAUUUUCUACAAAAAUGGGCUACUUGAAGAGACGUGGACAUUUUUUUUGUUUUUUUAGCUUCCAAACUUCUUUAUUUACUUAUUUUUAAUGAAGACACAAUUUUUCCCAAAAUAAUUGCAUUUCAAAUAGGGAUGACAAUGAAAUGGAUUUUUUUAGGUAUCCGCACCUUGCUCCUAAUGAGACAGGGUUCAAUUGUAAUAAACGAGUUUGAGAUUUUUUUUCCCCCAUUUAAUUUUUUAAAUGAGACGGGAUGAGAAUUAUUUUAAAUAAACGGAGCGGGGUUGGAAUGGGGACGACCCGUCCCGAAUCUGUUUCAUUGUCAUUCCUAAUUUCAAAGCAAUUUUUAAUACUUCAAUCAAGUUUUAAAAAAUGUGAUUAAAUUAAAUUUAUAUUAACUACCUCAAAUUAGAACUUAAGUUAAGUUAGAUUUGGAUUGAUUGUUUCUUAAUUAAAUUUAACCCAAUUUAUCUAUUAACUCGAUCCAACCCAUCUAAAUUGUAAUCUUACUUAAAAUGACAACUUCAAUUUUAUUUUAUUUUAAAAAAAAAUGAAUUUAAGUUGGAGUCAUUGUUUCUUAAGUAAUAAUUUGUAUUUUUAAAAGAGGUUGUUACUUGAAGGGAAAAUUUGACUAAAAAUAAAAUAUGAAAUAUUCAACUUUUAUUUUUAAAAAAACUUAAUUUUUAGUUUAAGUGUAAUUUGAAGAAAUAAUUUCAAUGUAAAAGGAAUUAAUAAAUUUUAUAUUAAAAUUGUCUCUUGAAAAAAUAACUUCAAAACACGUAAGUUAAAAACCUUUAACAAGUUCUCAAUAUCGUAAAUGUAACCAAAUAUUCAAAUUAUAUAAUUAUGCUACUUUUGAUCGAGGUUACAAAUGCCUCACAACAACAUUGAACAAAACAUCCAAGCCAUUCAUCACAUGAAUGACCUCAUGUGUGAACAUCCUCCCUAACUAAUGAGAGAGCAUUUGUAGCAUAUGAAGCAUUCUUACCACUAGCUCAUAAAAUGAUAAUGUUUGAGUAAGAAAUAGGCAAGUAAUGUAACAAUAUGAAACUAUGUAUGAAUUAUGAUAUUUGAGUGGACUUGAAGCUAUCUCGGCCGUCGAGAUAUUAGUCCAAUCAAAAUCAUGUUGCUUCUUUAAAUCGCACAUUUGUAAGCUAGACUUGAGAUCACAUGGCCAAGGAAUGCCAUAGGAACCUCGAACUAUAUCACUCAACUAUGUGUAUAUGUAUUAAUUAAGGGUGAGAUAGGGCUCAAGCCCAAAUACAAUUAAAAUCACACUAUUAUCAUAUUAUUAUAUAAUUUUUAAUAUUAUACUUUGUAUUUUAUUGAAAUAUUAAACAAAAUAUUACCAUCACUACCAAACAAACUCCAACUAGCAAUGCAAAACACACCUCAAAUGUAACGUUCAAACUGGCAGUUCUAUUUAUUAAGAGCUUAUGCCAAACAAGGACUAGAGAAACCCCUUCUCUUUGCAGCAUUGAAUUGCUUCAUCAAACAUCUCAUCCAGCCCAUACUUAUACUUGAAACCAGUAUCCAAUAGCUUCUUUGACGAGACGCCAGGUGUUCCAUACCCUUGAACCUCCUUCAAAGAACUGCAAAACAAAAAAACAAAAAAGCAAUUGAAUAUUUUUGUCUUUUCAGAUCAACAGAUAUGAAGCCAAAAAACAUGGAGCAAUUGUUAAGAAAGGAUUAAAAUGGAACAGAACUCACUCUAUAGUGGGUAUUGGAAGUUGUGGGUACUUGGCAGAAAGAAACUCAGACAUCUCAUUCAGUGUCAGUCUGUCUGAUGAACAAAUAUAUCUGCCUUUUGCAUCUGGGCAUUCCAGAAGAAAGAUGUGUGCACUGCAUACAUCAUCCACGUGCACCAUUGAUAUGUUCAUAAGAACAUGAUACUGUUGCUGGUCACCUGUAUAUGUCAAGAAAAUUAUGAAAAAGGUAUUUUCAGAAGAAAGUGCCAAUAUAUAUCACAUGAUUCAAUUAGAACAUGUGUGUCUUCACAAAGUGAAGCAACAUACCUAAGACCAGAGCCAGUGCGGUGUUCACCGAUCCAGGGAACCGGGGACAAAUGAAGGGGCCCACAACAAAAGAAGGAGUCACAGUCACCAGAUCCAAUCCAUGCUCUUGUGCAAAAUCAAGCGCUGACCUUUCGGUUAUUGUCUUGGAAAUCAUGUAUGAUUGGCCCCAGUAGUUGAGAGCCUUGAGGAAAUCUACAUCAGUCCAUGAACUCUCAUCCUUUAUGUCUCCACCCUUGUCAUUGAGCACAACAGCAGCUGUACUGGAAGUAUACACAACUCGCUUCACCGUCUUUGAAUUCAGGCACGCCUUUAAAAUGCCUAAAGUGCCUUCCACCGAUCUUUUGGUCACAGUUUCCUCUGGUUCUGUGUCCUCAAAAUCUACGGGAUGAGCAACAUGGAAAACCCCGAUACAUCCUUCAAUGGCUGCUUCAAAACUGCUGGGAUCACUCAGAUCUGCGUUGUAGAUUCGGAGCUUUUCCGAUGCUCCCGGAAGGUUUGUCAGGUAGCUAACGUCUUUCUUGCUCUCUGAUCAUAUUGAAAUUUUUGCAAUUUCUAGAGUUAGCUUCUUUGCUAAAAAAACCCAGAAUGACAAAACAUUUCGUACUCCAAAACACGAUUAAUAAUUUU